RNAcentral lists this ribosomal RNA (466 nucleotides) under uncultured bacterium. Its description in RNAcentral is "partial 16S ribosomal RNA". It matches the Rfam family "Bacterial small subunit ribosomal RNA", at positions 28 to 507 of the family's 1533-position model. The record is from RNAcentral.
GAUGAACGCUGGCGGCGUGCUUAACACAUGCAAGUCGAACGGAAAGGCCCAAGCUUGCUUGGGUGCUCGAGUGGCGAACGGGUGAGUAACACGUGGGUGAUCUGCCCUGCACUUUGGGAUAAGCCUGGGAAACUGGGGCUAAUACCGGAUAGGAGCAUCGGUUACUGUGGGGGGUGGAGAGUUUUUCGGUGUGGGAUGAGCUCGCGGCCUAUCAGCUUGUUGGUGGGGUAAUGGCCUACCAAGGCGUCGACGGGUAGCCGGCCUGAGAGGGUGUACGGCCACAUUGGGGCUGAGAUACGGCCCAGACUCCUACGGGAGGCAGCAGUGGGGAAUAUUGCACAAUGGGCGCAAGGCUGAUGCAGCGACGCCGCGUGGGGGAUGACGGCCUUCGGGUUGUAAACUCCUUUCGCCAAGGACGAAGCGUUUUGUGACGGUACUUGGAGAAGAAGCACCGGCUAACUACGUG